Ribosomal RNA from Aotus nancymaae (Ma's night monkey), 107 nucleotides. NCBI's taxonomy places the organism in Eukaryota, Metazoa, Chordata, Mammalia, Primates, Aotidae. The record is from Ensembl.
CUUUGGACAUAUCACCCUGAAUGCACCUGAUCUCAUCUGAUCUUGGAAGUGAAACAGAGUCAGGCCUGGUUAGUCUUUGGAUGGGGAAAAUCUAGACACAUCACUGG